This 406-nucleotide RNase P RNA is filed under the name Candidatus Cloacimonadota bacterium. RNAcentral describes it as "RNase P RNA component class A". It matches the Rfam family "Bacterial RNase P class A". Rfam says of the family: Ribonuclease P (RNase P) is a ubiquitous endoribonuclease, found in archaea, bacteria and eukarya as well as chloroplasts and mitochondria. Its best characterised activity is the generation of mature 5'-ends of tRNAs by cleaving the 5'-leader elements of precursor-tRNAs. Cellular RNase Ps are ribonucleoproteins. Lineage: Bacteria; Pseudomonadati; Candidatus Cloacimonadota. The record is from RNAcentral.
AGAGAAGAUAAAAUGUCUGCUUCGCCCCUGUGCGGGAUUAUUCCCGUACUGGAGCGGGGAGGAAAGUCCGAACACCGAAGGGCAGGAUACUUCUUAACGGGAAGUCCUGGCAACAGGAAGCUAGCUCCACAGAAACAAACCUCCCCGGAUAUUCCGGGGGAAGGGUGAAAUGGUAGUGUAAGAGACUACCAGAUUCCGGUGUGAACCGGAAUGCUCGGAAUGCCUUAUCUGGUGCAAUGCCGAAUAGGAGAGUUGGAUGGCCCGUCCUCAUGACUCUCGGGUAGGCAGCUAAAAUCGGUUCGUGGAACGAAUCUCUUAUGAGAAUAGCAAUAUCCGAUUUAGAGAAAUAGACAUUGGGCUGCUUUUUAGGCAGUCAACAGAAUUCGGCUUAUUAUCUUCUUUGACA